This 1398-nucleotide long non-coding RNA is filed under the name Sus scrofa (pig). RNAcentral's name for it is "lncRNA (ENSSSCG00060006250.1)". The record is from RNAcentral. Lineage: Eukaryota; Metazoa; Chordata; Mammalia; Artiodactyla; Suidae.
UUUUUUUUUUUUUUUGAAUAGUUCAUUCCCAUUCCUAUUGCAAUCAUUUUCACCUAGUGCAGCAAAUGAGAUAAUUUUGCAGAUUGUACCACUUUCCUUUUAAAUUAAUCCAUUCUUUUUGAGAGAAUGAUUCUAAUAGUGUGGUCAAGUACUUAGAAAUCAGCAGGCUGCUAACUUCUCCUUAAUUCAGUCUGUUCCAUUGAUUCCCUGAUCACUUGCUGUGUCACUCAGGGUGAAAUUCCUCCCUUUCUGCUCCUCCGUGGCUCCCUCCCCUCCCCCAUCAGUUCUUUAGUCUCUAGUGCUGAGAAAAGAGAUUCUGAGUUUUUGGGUUNGAGUUUUUGUUGCAGACGCGGCUCGGAUCCCGUGUUGCUGUGGCUCUGGCGUAGGCCGGUGGCCACAGCUCCGAUUCGACCCCUAGCCUGGGAAUCUCCAUAUGCCUCGGGAGCGGCCCAAGAAAUAGCAACAACAACAACAACAACAAAAGACAAAAGAAAAAAAAAACCAAAAAAAAAAAACCCAAUUAAUUAACGGGAGUGACUCUUGCUAGGGCACAUUUUUACUCUGGAGCUGAACACGUGAACUUUAAAGACGCACUGUUGAUCUGCAGAGGCAGCUUUUGGCAACAAGUGUGGUUCCACGUUACGGCUCCAUGAGGACUGCCGGUGGGUGGCCGAGUCAUCUUGUCCUUCAGCUGUUGACUCACGUGGUUGCAUGGAUGGGGACAUGGCUCAGUGUCUUCUCCUAGUUCCACCAUUACUAGUAACUGUAAUUUAAUUUGACUUCUCUAUUUUUCCCAUUGAAUAGAGCCAUAGGUAGAGUGUAAUGAUUUGAUGCUUUUGAUAAAACAUAGAAACAAACAGUAGGGAAGCUUAGGGAGGUAGAUUGUGGGCUUGGCACCAUUUUAGCAGGCACUUAAUUAUUGGUGUGGUGCAUUAGGGAAUUGGAUCCUGCAGAAUAAGGACUCAGACAGUGAAGUUUCUCAUGCAGCUUUGUCAGUGUCCUUUAUCUUACCUUUGUGCUGAGAGCAUUUUCAUAUUUAUCUAGUUCCAGUAUAUGAUAGCAAGUUACUAAAAACAACUGUCAUAUUUUUCUCAUCAAUCACUUAGAUUCUUACAUAGUAGGUGCUAAUUUAGUAACAUGACAAAAGGCAAUUUAAAUGCUAUCUCCUCUUAUUCUUGCAAGUAGGUAUACUUGACCCUAGUAAACACAAUGCCUCUUUGCCACACUUAAUAAUAAAAAGUAGAAUGAAGUUAAACAGUGACUCAGUAAAUAGUCACACACACACACACACAAAAAGGUGAAACUGCAAAAGAAAGAGCAAACAAACAAACAAAAAAAGGACCUUUGCUGCUUCAUUUCAGUUCAUUUCAGUUCAGUUCUGUGUCUGGAAUAAGUGAA